UCUCACUCAUUGAAGAAGCAAGAAAAAAACUCACCUUCAAUGUUGAAGCAACACCAAUUGAGAUAAAAAUGGACGCAUUGAGGUAAGUACACAACGAUGACAGAAGCAAAGGGGGAGGAGAUCAACAAACGGCAACGGCGAAAAUGGCGGAGGAAAUCGUAUGGCAGGCGAGGAUUGAGAAGAAAAUGGUAAAGGGGUGGGAGAAAGAGAGAUGGAGAUGAGAAUGGAUAAGAGAGAGAAACGGGAAAAGCUUAAUUUUUCUUUUCUUUUUGGUAUGACUUGGCAAAGUCAAAAAAAUUUAUUAUAAAAAAUGCCACACAAGGGUGGCAUGGGAGUGGUAUGCCACCUAGAGUGGUAUGUGUAUAAGUACUCUAU
This 375-nucleotide long non-coding RNA is filed under the name Medicago truncatula (barrel medic). RNAcentral describes it as "long non-coding RNA (MTRU_LNC001411)". The record is from RNAcentral. Lineage: Eukaryota; Viridiplantae; Streptophyta; Magnoliopsida; Fabales; Fabaceae.